CGGCCGCGCAGCCUUUGUCUCGGGGCCGCGGGGCGGCGGGGCCCGGCGCAGGCGUAAGUGACCGGUGGCCGGGCCGCCGGGGGCUCGGCGGGGAGCGGGCCGGGGGGCGCGGGCGCUCCGGGCGCGGGUGUCGGGCCAGACGGGCGGUGCGGGCGCGCGGGCGGGGAGCCGGGGCCGGUGCGCGCCCCGCGAGGCGGUGCGGGCGGCGGAGCGCGGCGCGCGGGGGGCGCGGGGGGCGCGGGGCUCGGGGCGCCGCAGCCUUGUGCCCGAGGCCGUGCGGCGUGGGUGCAAAUCCUGGCGGCUGUGUUUCUCCGGGCAGAGGCCACGCGGGGACGGAGGAGGCAGAGAGGACAGGCAGUGAUGGAGAAACGGGAGAGGAGCCGGCCAGCGUCACCAUCACCAUCACCGCCACCAUCGCCUCCACCAUCACCAUCACCAUCACCACCAUCACCAUCCCCAUCCCUGCCCGUCGCCCAUCCCAGCUGCCCCGGACCUCCCCUCCCUUCUCAUCUCCCCCCUGUCACGUCAACUUUACCAGAUUAUUUCCUUUUCCUGGGUGAUACUUUGAAACGGCGACAGUGUGCUCCAAAUUAGGAAUAAGUACCUCUGCUGUGGGACAUUCGGGCGCCUCUCCUUUGCCCGUUCGCGACCUCAGUUUUCCCAUCAGGAAAAGGACCACAGGGGUGCUCCGUUCCUCACAGUCAGCCUGUGAUGGCCGGCAAGCUUUCGGUUUUUCUAAUCUGGUGCCGGAAAGGGUUUUAGA
RNAcentral lists this long non-coding RNA (763 nucleotides) under Lynx pardinus (Iberian lynx). Lineage: Eukaryota; Metazoa; Chordata; Mammalia; Carnivora; Felidae. The record is from RNAcentral.